AGAUUGAACUGAAGAGUUUGAUCCUGGCUCAGAUUGAACGCUGGCGGGAUGCUUUACACAUGCAAGUCGGACGGCAGCACGGGCUUCGGCCUGGUGGCGAGUGGCGAACGGGUGAGUAAUGUAUCGGAACGUGCCCAGUAGCGGGGGAUAACUACGCGAAAGCGUGGCUAAUACCGCAUACGCCCUACGGGGGAAAGCGGGGACCUUCGGGCCUCGCACUAUUGGAGCGGCCGAUAUCGGAUUAGCUAGUUGGUGGGGUAACGGCCUACCAAGGCGACGAUCCGUAGCUGGUUUGAGAGGACGACCAGCCACACUGGGACUGAGACACGGCCCAGACUCCUACGGGAGGCAGCAGUGGGGAAUUUUGGACAAUGGGGGCAACCCUGAUCCAGCCAUCCCGCGUGUGCGAUGAAGGCCUUCGGGUUGUAAAGCACUUUUGGCAGGAAAGAAACGGCACGGGCUAAUAUCCUGUGCAACUGACGGUACCUGCAGAAUAAGCACCGGCUAACUACGUGCCAGCAGCCGCGGUAAUACGUAGGGUGCAAGCGUUAAUCGGAAUUACUGGGCGUAAAGCGUGCGCAGGCGGUUCGGAAAGAAAGAUGUGAAAUCCCAGGGCUUAACCUUGGAACUGCAUUUUUAACUACCGGGCUAGAGUGUGUCAGAGGGAGGUGGAAUUCCGCGUGUAGCAGUGAAAUGCGUAGAUAUGCGGAGGAACACCGAUGGCGAAGGCAGCCUCCUGGGAUAACACUGACGCUCAUGCACGAAAGUGUGGGGAGCAAACAGGAUUAGAUACCCUGGUAGUCCACGCCCUAAACGAUGUCAACUAGCUGUUGGGGCCUUCGGGCCUUGGUAGCGCAGCUAACGCGUGAAGUUGACCGCCUGGGGAGUACGGUCGCAAGAUUAAAACUCAAAGGAAUUGACGGGGACCCGCACAAGCGGUGGAUGAUGUGGAUUAAUUCGAUGCAACGCGAAAAACCUUACCUACCCUUGACAUGUCUGGAAUCCCGAAGAGAUUUGGGAGUGCUCGCAAGAGAACCGGAACACAGGUGCUGCAUGGCUGUCGUCAGCUCGUGUCGUGAGAUGUUGGGUUAAGUCCCGCAACGAGCGCAACCCUUGUCAUUAGUUGCUACGAAAGGGCACUCUAAUGAGACUGCCGGUGACAAACCGGAGGAAGGUGGGGAUGACGUCAAGUCCUCAUGGCCCUUAUGGGUAGGGCUUCACACGUCAUACAAUGGUCGGGACAGAGGGUUGCCAACCCGCGAGGGGGAGCCAAUCCCAGAAACCCGGUCGUAGUCCGGAUCGCAGUCUGCAACUCGACUGCGUGAAGUCGGAAUCGCUAGUAAUCGCGGAUCAGCAUGUCGCGGUGAAUACGUUCCCGGGUCUUGUACACACCGCCCGUCACACCAUGGGAGUGGGUUUUACCAGAAGUAGUUAGCCUAACCGCAAGGGGGGCGAUUACCACGGUAGGAUUCAUGACUGGGGUGAAGUCGUAACAAGGUAGCCGUAUCGGAAGGUGCGGCUGGAUCACCUCCUUU
Molecule: ribosomal RNA, 1535 nt
Filed under: Bordetella pertussis
Lineage: Bacteria; Pseudomonadati; Pseudomonadota; Betaproteobacteria; Burkholderiales; Alcaligenaceae
Also listed under: 1 other name
Description: bacterial SSU rRNA
Rfam family: Bacterial small subunit ribosomal RNA
Source: RNAcentral